Long non-coding RNA from Pogona vitticeps (central bearded dragon), 2329 nucleotides. The record is from Ensembl. Lineage: Eukaryota; Metazoa; Chordata; Lepidosauria; Squamata; Agamidae.
CGCGCUGAUCACCGUUGCUCUGAAGAUGGCUUCUGGUGGGUGCCUGAAAACCAGUUCAGUCGUGCGCAGAAGGGAUCCGUGGUGAGUUUUAACAGACUUGGUGGAGAAGAGAAACAGCCAGGGCCGGCCCUACCGGGAGGCAGAGGGGAACAUUUAUCUUAGGAGGAAAGGAAGGGGUGGCUGGCCAAGGUGAGUGGAAGCAAAUGGAUCGCACAAAGAAUGGGCGCUGGGUGUGUGCGGGUCGCCAUCAGAGGAUCCAGAGAGACGGGGCGAGCAAACCCCUUGUCGUCCCGGCGUUCGCAUGCUGAGUCGGGCCUUGGUGGAGCUCCUGAGACAAACCAGUAUGUAUCAACCACCUCGUCUUUGCUGCUACACUGCCUCAGGCUAUGGAAGCUCCAUUUGUGGCUCACAGCCGUGGGCGAUGGUCGUUGAUCGAUGCCUGCUAAUUGAACUGGACUGUUCUGAGUUGCACGUGUCUGGAAAAUGUCCUCCCGAGGGUGGCCGUGAAUGCAAAGCCAGGAAGAUUAGCCGCCAAGAGUGGUCGCAAUUGACCAGAUAGGUGGGGUAUAAAUGGAAUAAAUAAAUAAAUAAAUAAAGAUUCUGAGCUUGGAAACCUGAAAGCCUUCCUCUCGAUCAUCUUCAAUUAGACAUCACCUGCAAAAGCCUCUUUGGGGAUCCGAGUGGCGCCCAGGAAAGUUAGUUUUUCUUGGACUACAGCAGAAUGGCGUGAUUCUGGGAAUGACCACAGCAUCAAACCACCAAAUGCAUAAAGUAGAGUUGCCAGCUGAUCAGAAAAACGCCUGCCUAUCUUGCUUCUCUGCUUUUAGCAGCACUUUGAUUUUCACAAACCAGCAAAUGAUGCUUUUCAUUGCAUGGAGAGAAAAAUUCCUACCGCCCCCUGUUUCUGCAGAUGAUAUGGCUGUGAACGUCCAACAGCUAAUACAGUGGUGCCUCGCAAGACGAGCGCUUUGCGAUGAUCGGUUCCCUGUUUUGCUAACCGACUAUCGCAAAACGAAGAUUUUCGCACAGCUGAUCGGCGGUUUCAAAAUGGCUGCCGGGUAAAAAAAAUGGCCGCCCGCUGUUUUCUGGGAUGGAUUCCUCGCUGCACGGGCAGCGAAAAUGACCGCGCUAUGGAGGAUCUUCGCUGGGCAGUGAGUUUUAAGCCCAUAGGAACGCAUUGAAGGGGUUUCAAUGCGUUUCUAUGGGCUUUUUAAAAUUGCUUAACGAUGUUUUCAUUUUACAAUGAUUUUGCUGGAACGAAUUAACAUCGUAAUGUGAGGCACCACUGUAUGUGGCAUGGAAAGAGUGACCCAUGUGAGCAGAGGCUUCAUGGUGGUGUACAGUUCUUUUUUUAUUCUUACAUUCUAGGAUUAUUAUUAUUAUUAUUAUUAUUAUUAUUAUUAUUAUUAUUAUUAUUAUUAUUAGUCCUUUGGAAGAGAGUAUCCACGAGGGAUCAGUUCGAAGCUACCCCUCUGUACUGUGGAUGCCCCCAAACCUAUAUUUUUGCAUAAUCUCUAGUUCCCCCUAGUGGCCAAUUUUGUUAAUACACCUUGGAAAUACAUAUUUCUGAGUUUUUAAAAUUUAAUAUUUUCGAGCAACCGAUCACAGGCACCACAUGUACUGAUCCCGUGGAUAUGGGGGGGGGUUUCCUACGUAUUCGUUAUUGCUAAUUAUUUAUUGCUGUUGAUUGUGAAUCAUUAUUAUUUUACUGCCUCUGUAGCAUUCCUGAAUGAUUCUUCGCCCAAAGAUGCAGACAAAAUGUCUCAGUAUCCAUUUUUAAUCUCCUUUAUAUUGCUACUAUGAUGAUGAUGAUGAUGAUGAUGAUGAUGAUGUUUUUCAGUAGAGUCAUUGCACUUGUCCUAAUCAUGAACACAGAAUAUCUACAGAAUAUGGCCCUGAAUACAGUCCUGGUGCCACUGGGGGGGGCAUCUGGAUGAGACUGUCUGGUAUCCUGAUGCAGUGUUUUCGUGGUGCAGGGGGAAUGGAGCUAGACUCUCAGCACGGCCACGAAGCUAUGCCUGGGUGGAGAAAGCAGCCACGUGGGUGGAAUGUGCUAAGAUUCACUGAAUAUUCUGGGAUGUGCGACUCUCCUGCCUUCCCACAGAGGUCAAGAAGGUGACCCCACUUCCCCCCCGUCUUUGUUACUAUUUUGUGACUCUUUUCUCUGAAUUUCAGGAUAAGAUUGUGGGGGUGCGUGGGGGGGUUGGAGAAUGACAGAGAGCGAUAUUGUUUAAGAACCCCAAAGAAUGUUUCUAGCUAUCCUGUUUUUUCUUGUUUCACAUCUUGCUAUUUUCUUACCCAAAUAAAUCCUAUCUUGGCAGAGGUAUCA